CGCGGGUUGAAGAGGACCAGUCGUAUCCGGAUCACCCAGACAGAUUUGACUCCUGGUCCCAGAAGUGUGUUUCUAUGGGCCCGUUGGCUGUGUCACCGUCAGCAGUUACCAGGGACCGUCCUGCCGUCGCCUCUACCCACCACGGGACCACCACCCUCUCCGGCUACCCACCACGGGACCACCACCGUCACCGUCAGCAGGAAAGUCCUGGGACCUCCAGGAUGUCCUUGGACCUCCAGGAUGUCCUGGUGCGGGCCCCUUCUCCACAGAUAUAAGAAGCCCCCCCUCUCCACACCAAAGCCCCUUUCAGCAGCUGGCGGUCGUCAGGAACCAGCACGCCUCCACCUCCAGCCCUAUUCCGCAAAAACUCGCCCAGGGAAAUGUGUGUAAACAUUUUAGCAUCCCUAGCUAUCUCGAAAUGGCCAGAAAAGGGGUGUGACCUCCAACAGUACAGUAAAUGUACAUAAGACAGAGGUUAGUUUCUACUCCCCAUUUUUUGUGGGAUGGAGGUGUACAUUAGUGGCUUAAGGUGUGUAGACACAGCUGGCCUGUGGCCACGUUUUUGAAGUCUGGGGUCAAAAGGUCAAAAGGAGCCGGCACCACGCCGCUUAUGAGAUAACAAAAAGUGAAUGUGUAUUUCUCUCGU
Long non-coding RNA from Gadus morhua (Atlantic cod), 646 nucleotides. RefSeq lists it as uncharacterized. The transcript is spliced from 3 exons. The record is from RefSeq and is a predicted model, not a curated record. Lineage: Eukaryota; Metazoa; Chordata; Actinopteri; Gadiformes; Gadidae.